This 695-nucleotide ribosomal RNA is filed under the name uncultured bacterium. RNAcentral's name for it is "bacterial SSU rRNA". It matches the Rfam family "Bacterial small subunit ribosomal RNA", at positions 111 to 823 of the family's 1533-position model. The record is from RNAcentral.
UAACGCGUGGAUAACCUGCCUUUCACAGGGGGAUAACAGCUGGAAACGGUUGCUAAUACCGCAUGAGCCUCUUUUGUCGCAUGACGGGAGAGGGAAAGAGAAAUCGGUGAGAGAUGGAUCCGCGUCCGAUUAGCUAGUUGGAGGGGUAACAGCCCACCAAGGCGACGAUCGGUAGCCGACCUGAGAGGGUGGACGGCCACAUUGGGACUGAGACACGGCCCAAACUCCUACGGGAGGCAGCAGUGGGGAAUAUUGCACAAUGGGGGAAACCCUGAUGCAGCAACGCCGCGUGAGUGAGGAAGUAUUUCGGUAUGUAAAGCUCUAUCAGCAGGGAAUAGAAAAGAAGGUACCUGAAAAAGAAGCCCCGGCUAACUACGUGCCAGCAGCCGCGGUAAUACGUAGGGGGCAAGCGUUAUCCGGAUUUACUGGGUGUAAAGGGAGCGUAGACGGAAAGGCAAGUCAGAAGUGAAAACCCAAGGCUCAACCAUGGGACUGCUUUUGAAACUGUGUUUCUUGAGUACUGGAGAGGCAGACGGAAUUCCUAGUGUAGCGGUGAAAUGCGUAGAUAUUAGGAGGAACACCAGUGGCGAAGGCGGUCUGCUGGACAGCAACUGACGCUGAGGCGCGAAAGCGUGGGGAGCAAACAGGAUUAGAUACCCUGGUAGUCCACGCUGUAAACGAUGGAUACUAGGUGU